UCCCUGGAGGACUAGUGGUUAGGCCAUAACACUCUCACUGCUGCAGCCAGGGGUCAAUUCCAUGCCAGGGAG
This 72-nucleotide transfer RNA is filed under the name Pangasianodon hypophthalmus (striped catfish). It matches the Rfam family "tRNA". Rfam says of the family: Transfer RNA (tRNA) molecules are approximately 80 nucleotides in length. Their secondary structure includes four short double-helical elements and three loops (D, anti-codon, and T loops). The record is from Rfam by way of RNAcentral. Lineage: Eukaryota; Metazoa; Chordata; Actinopteri; Siluriformes; Pangasiidae.